GUCUCUGUGGGGCGAUCGGUUAGCGCGUUCGGCUGUUAACCGAAAGGUUGGUGGUUCAAGCCCACCCAGGGACG
This is a non-coding RNA of Nematostella vectensis (starlet sea anemone), 74 nucleotides long. NCBI's taxonomy places the organism in Eukaryota, Metazoa, Cnidaria, Anthozoa, Actiniaria, Edwardsiidae. The record is from Rfam.